GACGAACGCUGGCGGCGUGCUUAAUACAUGCAAGUCGAACGGAAAGGCCCUGCUUUUGUGGGGUGCUCGAGUGGCGAACGCGUGAGUAACACGCGAGUAACCUGCCCUUGUCUUUGGGAUAACUUUUGGAAACUGGGGCUCAUAUCGGAUAGGAGCUCUUGAUGCACGGGGGGGGUUGGUAAAUUUCGGCGGUUGGGGAUGGAAUCGCUGCUUACCCGCUUGUUGGUGGGGUAGUGGCUUACCAAGGCUUUGACGGGUAGCCGGCCUGGGAGCGUGGCCGGCCACAUUGCGACUGAGGGACGGCCCAGACGCCUACGGGAGGCAACGGUGGAAAAUAUUGCGGAAUGGGCGGAAGCCUGAUGCAGCAACGCCGCGUGCGUGAUGACGGCCUUCGGGUUGUAAACCACUUUCGACGUUGACAAGGCGUGAGUGACGGUAAUUAGUAAAGAAGCACCGGCUAACUACGUG
Molecule: ribosomal RNA, 468 nt
Filed under: uncultured bacterium
Lineage: Bacteria
Description: partial 16S ribosomal RNA
Rfam family: Bacterial small subunit ribosomal RNA
Source: RNAcentral